This 72-nucleotide transfer RNA is filed under the name Marmota marmota marmota (Alpine marmot). It matches the Rfam family "tRNA". Rfam says of the family: Transfer RNA (tRNA) molecules are approximately 80 nucleotides in length. Lineage: Eukaryota; Metazoa; Chordata; Mammalia; Rodentia; Sciuridae. The record is from Rfam by way of RNAcentral. RNAcentral also lists the same sequence under 1 other name.
UGGGGUGUGACUCAGUGGUAGAGUUCUUGUCUAACACACGUGAUGCACUGGGUUCAAUCCUCAGUACCACAU